This 549-nucleotide ribosomal RNA is filed under the name uncultured archaeon. RNAcentral describes it as "bacterial SSU rRNA". It matches the Rfam family "Archaeal small subunit ribosomal RNA", at positions 325 to 872 of the family's 1478-position model. The record is from RNAcentral.
ACGGGGCGCAGCAGGCGCGAAACCUUUACACUGCACGCAAGUGCGAUAAGGGGACCCCAAGUGCGAGGGCAUAUAGUCCUCGCUUUUCUCGACCGUAAGGCGGUCGAGGAAUAAGAGCUGGGCAAGACCGGUGCCAGCCGCCGCGGUAAUACCGGCAGCUCAAGUGAUGACCGAUAUUAUUGGGCCUAAAGCGUCCGUAGCCGGCCACGAAGGUUCAUCGGGAAAUCCGCCAGCUCAACUGGCGGGCGUCCGGUGAAAACCACGUGGCUUGGGACCGGAAGGCUCGAGGGGUACGUCCGGGGUAGGAGUGAAAUCCCGUAAUCCUGGACGGACCACCGAUGGCGAAAGCACCUCGAGAAGACGGAUCCGACGGUGAGGGACGAAAGCUAGGGUUUCGAACCGGAUUAGAUACCCGGGUAGUCCUAGCUGUAAACGAUGCUCGCUAGGUGUGACACAGGCUACGAGCCUGUGUUUGUGCCGUAGGGAAGCCGAGAAGCGAGCCGCCUGGGAAGUACGUCCGCAAGGAUGAAACUUAAAGGAAUUGGCGGG